CCUCCUUAUUUCUUAAAUCUUGACUCCUCUUGAGUAAGAAUACUGGACAGUUCACUAACAUCCCACUUAUCCUUAAUAGUGUUAUAGUUAUUUGGAAUGGUCCAUACUCAAGAGGCAAUGAGUUCAGAAUAAACUGAACCAAGAAGGUGUCAUCCACUUUCAUCCCCAAGUUCGAAAGUCUUGUUGCAAUCUUAGUCAUCUCGAUGAUAUGAUUUUGCAUACUGUGCGACCCAUCAAACUUCAUGGUCGUGAGUUCAGCACCUUUACUUUAAGUCCUUUACCAGCUCCUUGACCCAUGAGGUUAAUGAAAUGACCUCCUUAUUUCUUAAAUCUUGACUCCUCUUGAGUAAGAAUACUGGACAGUUCACUAACAUCCCACUUAUCCUUAAUAGUGUUAUAGUUAUUUGGAAUGGUCCAUACUCAAGAGGCAAUGAGUUCAGAAUAAACUGAACCAAGAAGGUGUCAUCCACUUUCAUCCCCAAGUUCGAAAGUCUUGUUGCAAUCUUAGUCAUCUCGAUGAUAUGAUUUUGCAUACUGUGCGACCCAUCAAACUUCAUGGUCGUGAGUUCAGUCGUUAGUGUACCAGCGAGAGACUUAUCAGCAGAACGAAAACGUUCUUCCACAAACUUCAGGUAUUCCCUGGCACUUUCUGUUUGUGGAAUAGUACCCUUAAUGUUGUUAGCAACAGUCAUUCGCAUGAACAUUUAGCGAUGUUGAUGAGUCC
This 724-nucleotide long non-coding RNA is filed under the name Solanum tuberosum (potato). RNAcentral describes it as "long non-coding RNA (STUB_LNC005676)". Lineage: Eukaryota; Viridiplantae; Streptophyta; Magnoliopsida; Solanales; Solanaceae. The record is from RNAcentral.